RNAcentral lists this unclassified non-coding RNA (383 nucleotides) under uncultured Ceratobasidium. Its description in RNAcentral is "sequence contains ITS1". The stretch from base 1 to 105 matches the Rfam family "5.8S ribosomal RNA", at positions 50 to 154 of the family's 154-position model. Lineage: Eukaryota; Fungi; Basidiomycota; Agaricomycetes; Cantharellales; Ceratobasidiaceae. The record is from RNAcentral.
GAAAUGCGAUACUUGGUGUGAAUUGCAGAAUUCAGUGAAUCAUCGAAUCUUUGAACGCACCUUGCGCUCCUUGGUAUUCCUCGGAGCAUGCCUGUUUGAGUAUCAUGAAACUCUCAAAGAAAAUCUUUUGUUAAUUCGAUUGGUUUUGCUUUGGACUUGGAGGUUUUUUUGCAGAUUAAUUUCUGCUCCUCUUAAAUAUAUUAGCUGGAUCUCAGUAUAUGCUCGGUUCCACUCGGCGUGAUAAGUAAUCACUCGCUGAGGACACUUUGUAAAAAAAGGUGGCCGGGAAAUACAGAUGAACCGCUUCGAACAGUCCAUUCACUUGGACAAUAUAAGUUUUAAGAUCUGAUCUCAAAUCAGGUAGGACUACCCGCUGAACUUAA